RNAcentral lists this microRNA precursor (89 nucleotides) under Canis lupus familiaris (dog). Its description in RNAcentral is "mir-8799 microRNA precursor family". It matches the Rfam family "mir-8799 microRNA precursor family". RNAcentral also lists the same sequence under 1 other name. Lineage: Eukaryota; Metazoa; Chordata; Mammalia; Carnivora; Canidae. The record is from Rfam by way of RNAcentral.
GGGGGGAGGCCAGAUCCUGGGCUGUGUCCCGGCGCCCUGUGCUCCCGGACCUGCGCUGUUGGAUUCGCGCUCCCGCCCCGCAGCCCCCU